This 183-nucleotide small RNA is filed under the name Arabidopsis thaliana (thale cress). RNAcentral's name for it is "ATSL167340". Lineage: Eukaryota; Viridiplantae; Streptophyta; Magnoliopsida; Brassicales; Brassicaceae. The record is from RNAcentral.
AGUUAACUUCACUUCCAAAUGGGCACAAGGCAAUUGGCGUGAAGUGGGUGUAUAAAGCAAAGAAAAACUCUAAAGGAGAAGUGGAAAGAUACAAAGCAAGAUUAGUUGCAAAAGGUUAUAGUCAAAGAACCGAAUCAACUAUGACAACGUUAGACUAAUCAAUGGAUGUAAUGGUUAGACUAA